UGGGAGGCAUCCGAAAAUCCUUUAAAAGAGUAGGAA
This 36-nucleotide non-coding RNA is filed under the name unclassified sequences. RNAcentral's name for it is "DUF805b RNA". It matches the Rfam family "DUF805b RNA". From Rfam's summary of the family: Bacteroidetes, Chlorobi (1 example), Proteobacteria. The record is from RNAcentral.